AUACGUAGGGUGCGAGCGUUGUCCGGAAUUACUGGGCGUAAAGAGCUCGUAGGUGGUUUGUCGCGUCGUCUGUGAAAUUCCGGGGCUUAACUCCGGGCGUGCAGGCGAUACGGGCAUAACUUGAGUACUGUAGGGGAGACUGGAAUUCCUGGUGUAGCGGUGAAAUGCGCAGAUAUCAGGAGGAACACCGGUGGCGAAGGCGGGUCUCUGGGCAGUAACUGACGCUGAGGAGCGAAAGCAUGGGUGGCGAACAGGAUUAGAUGCCCUGGUAGUCCAUGCCGUAAACGGUGGGCGCUAGGUGUAGGGGUCUUCCACGACUUCUGUGCCGUAGCUAACGCAUUAAGCGCCCCGCCUGGGGAGUACGGCCGCAAGGCUAAAACUCAAAGGAAUUGACGGGG
RNAcentral lists this ribosomal RNA (398 nucleotides) under uncultured bacterium. RNAcentral's name for it is "partial 16S ribosomal RNA". It matches the Rfam family "Bacterial small subunit ribosomal RNA", at positions 523 to 918 of the family's 1533-position model. The record is from RNAcentral.